This is a long non-coding RNA of Saccostrea cuccullata (small rock oyster), 501 nucleotides long. RefSeq lists it as uncharacterized. The transcript is spliced from 4 exons. NCBI's taxonomy places the organism in Eukaryota, Metazoa, Mollusca, Bivalvia, Ostreida, Ostreidae. The record is from RefSeq and is a predicted model, not a curated record.
GAGGUUAAUUUGUGUAUCACUGAAUAUUGUAUGCUUUUUUUCAGGAUCAGCUAAGAUGUUAUUUCACUGGAUUAUUUAAUUGGGCAUAUAAUUGGAUAAUUCUGUCCUCAACCUGGAAGAUAUGUUUUAUUCCUAACCAUCUAUAAUCCAUUCUCUAUGAAGUUCAGCCUGUCUGCCCAAAUUCCUUUGGAAAUACAUAGUUAGUCAACCAACAUAGAAACAAUCAAACUUGAAGUCAUCAACAUGGAAGAUAUGUUUUGUUCCUAACCAUCUAUAAUCCAUUCUCUAUGAAGUUCAGCCUGUCUGCUCUUCCUUUGGAAAUACACAGUUAGUCAAUCAACAUAGAAACACACAAACUUGAAGGAUUCUCAAUGGGGAACUCAGUAAAUUAUGCACAGACUAACAGAAUAUACUCUCUUGGAACACUGAUACAAGAAUAUAAAACCAGAGAUGGAUGGAGGACUCAAGAAGCACAUGAAUAAAUAUGAUUCCAAACUAAGU